UCCGGCUUACACCGGCGGUCUCCUAUGAGUCCCCGACUUUCUCGCUGGUAACAUAGGACGAGGGUUGCGCUCGUUGGCGGACUUAACCGUACACCUCACGGCACGAGCUGACGACAGCCAUGCAACAUCUGUUUUCAGGUCGCCUUGUGGGCGAGGGCCUACUUUCAUAGGCUUUCCUUCAAUGUCAAACCUGGGUAAGGUUCUUCGGUUAGUAUCGAAUUAAUCCACAUGCUCCACCGCUUGUGCGGGUCCCCGUCAAUUCAUUUGAGUUUCAACCUUGCGGCCGUACUCCCCAGGCGGGAUACUUAAUGCGUUAGCUACGGCACAAGAGGGGUCGAUACCUCUUACGCCUAGUAUCCAUCGUUUAGGGCGUGGACUAC
Molecule: unclassified non-coding RNA, 380 nt
Filed under: uncultured Armatimonadota bacterium
Lineage: Bacteria; Bacillati; Armatimonadota
Description: uncultured Armatimonadetes bacterium contains 16S-23S intergenic spacer region
Source: RNAcentral